AACGAACGCUGGCGGCAUGCCUAACACAUGCAAGUCGAACGAAACCUUCGGGUCUAGUGGCGCACGGGGUCGUAACGCGUGGGAACCUGCCCUUAGGUUCGGAAUAACUCCCCGAAAGGGGUGCUAAUACCGGAUAAUGUCUUCUGACCAAAGAUUUAUCGCCUGUGGAUGGGCCCGCGUUGGAUUAGCUAUUUGGUAGGGUAAAAGCCUAACAAGGUGACGAUCCAUAAUUGGUCUGAGAGGCGGAUCAGCCACCCUGGGACUGAGACACGGCCCAGACUUCUACGGGAGGCAGAAGUGGGGCAUAGUGGACACGGGGCGGAAGCCUGAGCCAGCAAUGCCGAGUGAGCGAUGAAGGCCUGAGGGUUGUAAAGCUCUUUUCCCCGGGAUGAUAAUGACAGCACAGGGAGAAUACGCCCGGGAUAAACCCG
Molecule: ribosomal RNA, 431 nt
Filed under: uncultured bacterium
Lineage: Bacteria
Description: partial 16S ribosomal RNA
Rfam family: Bacterial small subunit ribosomal RNA
Source: RNAcentral